Molecule: ribosomal RNA, 448 nt
Filed under: uncultured bacterium
Lineage: Bacteria
Description: bacterial SSU rRNA
Rfam family: Bacterial small subunit ribosomal RNA
Source: RNAcentral
GAUGAACGCUGGCGGCGCGCCUAACACAUGCAAGUCGAACGGCACCCCUCUCCGGAGGGAAGCGAGUGGCGAACGGCUGAGUAACACGUGGAGAACCUGCCCCCUCCCCCGGGAUAGCCGCCCGAAAGGACGGGUAAUACCGGAUACCCCCGGGCGCCGCAUGGCGCCCGGGCUAAAGCCCCGACGGGAGGGGAUGGCUCCGCGGCCCAUCAGGUAGACGGCGGGGUGACGGCCCACCGUGCCGACAACGGGUAGCCGGGUUGAGAGACCGACCGGCCAGAUUGGGACUGAGACACGGCCCAGACUCCUACGGGAGGCAGCAGUGGGGAAUCUUGCGCAAUGGGGGGAACCCUGACGCAGCGACGCCGCGUGCGGGACGGAGGCCUUCGGGUCGUAAACCGCUUUCAGCAGGGAAGAGUCAAGACUGUACCUGCAGAAGAAGCCCCGG